GGAACAGUACUCAAAUUGGACAAGAGGACAUCCUGCUAAGAUGUUAGGUCGGGUAACCGAUGUGAGAGUUCGAGCCUCUCCUGUUCCGCCA
This 91-nucleotide transfer RNA is filed under the name Spiroplasma sp. ChiS. Its description in RNAcentral is "tRNA-Ser". Lineage: Bacteria; Bacillati; Mycoplasmatota; Mollicutes; Entomoplasmatales; Spiroplasmataceae. The record is from RNAcentral.